UUACUGCGGGGGCUGACUCCAGGGCUCCAGAGCUGGCCCCGCCACUGGGGUUGUUCCUCCAGGGGCCUCAUGGGGUAAACUAACUUUUCAAAGGCCCCCAAAUUAAACAUAACCCUUGGCAGCUUUAUUGCAGUCACAGUACGAGAUAGUCAGGUGCCCCACGACAUUUUUCAGUCCUCUCAUCUAUUCUGCAGAUGUUAAUUUGACUCUUUGCUAGGAGAGACAAGAGAGGAAAACUAUCAUCCACCACAAGUAGAGGUAACAGUGAACUGGAAAGCCCUAACAUAUAAAGCAACGUUUCAUCAUUUGGUCUCACCGCUGAUGUUUAAGUGAUGUCUGUAAACAUACCAGUAAAUCGGGAGUUGAAAUUUUCUCUAAAAGACUGAAAAUAGGCACAGUUCUCCCAGGCACAGAGACAGUGGGUUUUCCUUACACCCAUCCUGCAAACUGGGGGAGAAGAAAAAACAAAAACAAUAAGGGACUUUAACACCCCACAUAUCAGUGGAUAGAUCAUCCAGGUUGAGGGGGAAAGUCAAGAAACCAUGGCUUUGAAUGGCACAUUAGACUAGAUGGUCCUAACUGAUCUAUAAAGAACAUUCCAUCUAAAACCAGAAUACACAUUCUUUUCAAGUGCGUGUGGGACAUUCUCCAGGAGAGGUCAUAUGGUAUGGAAUGAGGUUUCUGUGAGUUGUCCUGUUAUAACCAGCCACCCAACUUGCACAUACACAUGUGAACUAAAGCAUGUGGUUUGUGAGACUUGUGCUGUAUAAGUGACCUUGGGAGCCUAGUUAGUUGACAUUAUCUGGCCUCCAGGUCAGAACUGGCCCUUCUGGUCUGGACGCCAAGAGAGGUCAAUCUUGCCUCACAUUCCCUCCUGCUCCAACCCCCAGAAUGGAAUCCAGGAGAGGAGACCAGCAUAUCCAGCCCAGGGUCCUUGAAUAUGUAAAGACAUGAUAACACAGGAAUGCAGCUAGCUCUGUACUACACAUAAGCAAGCAAAUAUUUACCUUCAGAUCCCAUCAUUUCCCUAUAAAUACAGUCCUUAUAGGGAUAGUCAGUUGGAAGUCUCACCUGAGGGAAGGAUGCUCCACCCAGACCUCUCAUUGGGAUUCCAGCUUGGCGGUCUCCACGGGGUUUCCCCAGCUGAUGAGAUGCCACCAACAGCUCACAACUUACCAGCUCCAGGACAAGGCCAACAACCUUCCAUUUGGAGAACAUGGUGAGCUCCAAAGUGUUCUGAGUGCAGAGUCCUCAGGUCCCUCAGGAAAUGCCCAAUUCUGGAGCACUGCAUGGUUCUCACCACGUCUGUUUCCUGCCUUUCUCCCAGCAGCCCUCAAGCCCCAGCAGUAUCGUUCACCUCUGUCCAUCAUCUAGAUCCUGGACUUAAAAUUAGAACCUGGAUCCCAGUUCCAUUUAAGAUUUCCAUGAAUGCUUUCUUCCUCAAAACUAGUAAAGUGACGAAAAGUGAAAUGUAACUAGAUCUUCUGGUUCUGGAUUGUAGCAGCGAUUGAGAUGGAAUCCUAAAAAUAGGAAAGGCAAGAGACAUGGAAGGACCUCAGUUUCCUAGGGAACUUGGUACCUGUCACCUUGUCAUUAUCAUUCUUCUUGCAUGGAGUCUCCUUUACAAUCGUUAGCAACCUUUACUGCCUGAACUUGAUCAAGAAUUUACCAUUGGAAACCAGACUUUGAUUCAGCUUGAGAGAGAAAAAGAGUAUCACAGUUAUGUACUCACCACUCCUCCCCAUCCCCAAACCCAGCAUAGGGAAAACAAAAUUUGAACUUGAAUAAAAUAAACCUGCCUCUUUCUA
Long non-coding RNA from Canis lupus familiaris (dog), 1808 nucleotides. RefSeq lists it as uncharacterized. The record is from RefSeq and is a predicted model, not a curated record. The transcript has 2 exons. Lineage: Eukaryota; Metazoa; Chordata; Mammalia; Carnivora; Canidae.